AUGUCAGACGCAGCCGUAGACGCCAGCUCCGAAAUCACCAUCAAGGACUUAAAGGAGAAGAAGGAAGUUGUGGAAGAGGCAGAAAAUGGAAGAGACGCCCCUGCUAACGGGAAUGCUAAUGAGGAAAAUGGGGAGCAGGAAGCUGACAGUGAAGUAGAUGAAGAAGAGGAAGAAGGUGGGGAGGAAGAGGAGGAGGAAGAAGAAGGUGAUGGUGAGGAAGAGGAUGGAGAUGAAGAUGAGGAAGCUGAGUCACCUACGGGCAAGCGGGCAGCUGAAGAUGAUGAGGAUGACGAUGUCGAUACCAAGAAGCAGAAGACCGACGAGGAUGACUAG
RNAcentral lists this long non-coding RNA (333 nucleotides) under Homo sapiens (human). RNAcentral describes it as "non-protein coding lnc-NDFIP2-26:2". Lineage: Eukaryota; Metazoa; Chordata; Mammalia; Primates; Hominidae. The record is from RNAcentral.